GUACAUUAGUGCUUGCGCACGACAAUAGUUUUCAUUACAUUCGAGUGUGUAAAAAUCCUCUGCCAGCCAAAGCCAGCGGAGGCUAAAGGUUCACAUGGGGUGGGGAUUGGAGGAAAGUCACCAGCGUGCACUUGCCAGAGCUGGCCAGCACAGAAGGCAACGAUUCACAAUCAAUAAUGAUCCUUCCGCAGGUUCACCUACGGAAA
RNAcentral lists this unclassified non-coding RNA (206 nucleotides) under uncultured fungus. RNAcentral's name for it is "sequence contains ITS1". Lineage: Eukaryota; Fungi. The record is from RNAcentral.